AAGUCCCGCAAGGGAUAAGUAGAGUGGCAAACGGGUGAGUAACACGUGGGUGACCUGCCUUCGAGUGGGGGAUAACGUCCCGAAAGGGACGCUAAUACCGCAUAACAUCCUGCCUUUGAAGAGGUGGAGAUCAAAGCUGGGGAUCGCAAGACCUAGCGCUUGAAGAGGGGCCCGCGUCUGAUUAGCUAGUUGGUGGGGUAAUGGCUCACCAAGGCAACGAUCAGUAUCCGGCCUGAGAGGGCGGACGGACACACUGGGACUGAGACACGGCCCAGACUCCUACGGGAGGCAGCAGUGGGGAAUUGUUCGCAAUGGGCGCAAGCCUGACGACGCAACGCCGCGUGGAGGAUGAAGACCUUCGGG
This 363-nucleotide ribosomal RNA is filed under the name uncultured bacterium. RNAcentral describes it as "bacterial SSU rRNA". It matches the Rfam family "Bacterial small subunit ribosomal RNA", at positions 72 to 422 of the family's 1533-position model. The record is from RNAcentral.